This 588-nucleotide ribosomal RNA is filed under the name Glutamicibacter arilaitensis. Its description in RNAcentral is "bacterial SSU rRNA". It matches the Rfam family "Bacterial small subunit ribosomal RNA", at positions 240 to 838 of the family's 1533-position model. Lineage: Bacteria; Bacillati; Actinomycetota; Actinomycetes; Micrococcales; Micrococcaceae. The record is from RNAcentral.
UUCAGCUUGUUGGUGAGGUAAUGGCUCACCAAGGCGACGACGGGUAGCCGGCCUGAGAGGGUGACCGGCCACACUGGGACUGAGACACGGCCCAGACUCCUACGGGAGGCAGCAGUGGGGAAUAUUGCACAAUGGGCGAAAGCCUGAUGCAGCGACGCCGCGUGAGGGAUGACGGCCUUCGGGUUGUAAACCUCUUUCAGUAGGGAAGAAGCGAAAGUGACGGUACCUGCAGAAGAAGCGCCGGCUAACUACGUGCCAGCAGCCGCGGUAAUACGUAGGGCGCAAGCGUUAUCCGGAUUUAUUGGGCGUAAAGAGCUCGUAGGCGGUUUGUCGCGUCUGCCGUGAAAGUCCGAGGCUCAACCUCGGAUCUGCGGUGGGUACGGGCAGACUAGAGUGAUGUAGGGGAGACUGGAAUUCCUGGUGUAGCGGUGAAAUGCGCAGAUAUCAGGAGGAACACCGAUGGCGAAGGCAGGUCUCUGGGCAUUUACUGACGCUGAGGAGCGAAAGCAUGGGGAGCGAACAGGAUUAGAUACCCUGGUAGUCCAUGCCGUAAACGUUGGGCACUAGGUGUGGGGGACAUUCCACGUU